Molecule: ribosomal RNA, 195 nt
Filed under: uncultured bacterium
Lineage: Bacteria
Description: partial 16S ribosomal RNA
Rfam family: Bacterial small subunit ribosomal RNA
Source: RNAcentral
CAACUCGCCUACAUGAAGUCGGAAUUGCUGUAAUCGCGGAUCAGCAUGCCGUUUCGGNGAAUACGUUCCCGGGCCUUGUACACACCGCCCGUCACACCAUGGGAGUCGGUAACACCCGAAGCCUGUAGUCUAACCGCAAGGGGGACGCAGUCGAAGGUGGGAUUGAUGACUGGGGUGAAGUCGUAACAAGGUAGC